RNAcentral lists this ribosomal RNA (497 nucleotides) under uncultured bacterium. RNAcentral describes it as "partial 16S ribosomal RNA". It matches the Rfam family "Bacterial small subunit ribosomal RNA", at positions 28 to 507 of the family's 1533-position model. The record is from RNAcentral.
GAUGAACGCUGGCGGCGUGCCUAAUACAUGCAAGUCGAGCGAACAGAUAAGGAGCUUGCUCCUUUGACGUUAGCGGCGGACGGGUGAGUAACACGUGGGUAACCUACCUAUAAGACUGGAAUAACUCCGGGAAACCGGGGCUAAUGCCGGAUAACAUUUAGAACCGCAUGGUUCUAAAGUGAAAGAUGGUUUUACUAUCACUUAUAGAUGGACCCGCGCCGUAUUAGCUAGUUGGUAAGGUAACGGCUUACCAAGGCAACGAUACGUAGCCGACCUGAGAGGGUGAUCGGCCACACUGGAACUGAGACACGGUCCAGACUCCUACGGGAGGCAGCAGUAGGGAAUCUUCCGCAAUGGGCGAAAGCCUGACGGAGCAACGCCGCGUGAGUGAUGAAGGUCUUCGGAUCGUAAAACUCUGUUAUUAGGGAAGAACAAAUGUGUAAGUAACUGUGCACGUCCUGACGGUACCUAAUCAGAAAGCCACGGCUAACUACGUG